AUGCAAGCGACGGCGCGGCAGGUGGAGGACAAGGAGUGCUACAGCUACACCACCAAUGGCGCGGCCAACGGGCGGCCGCACCGCAAGAACCCGGCCGCGUCCUCUAGGCUCAAGCCGAUGCCGUCCAAGUGGGACGACGCGCAGAAGUGGCUGGUGGGCAUGUCCAACGGCGGCGGCGACGGGCUGCACGGCGGCGGCGGCAAGGCCGCCAAGCCCCGCAACUCCAACGCCGACGACCGGCGCCUCCUGAGCUCCUCCUCGCAGAACGGCCGCAUCUCCUGCAGCAGCGUGGACGGCGGGAUCGAGUACAACAUGGUGGCGGCGCCCCCGACGCCGCCGCAGCUGGGCGAGGACGACGUCGGCGAGACCAAGAACAUGGACUGCAGCAUGGUGCGGCCGCACGCCCACGGGUCGCCCGUGUCGGUGUGCCUGCGGGACAUGGGCACCGAGAUGACGCCCAUCGCCAGCAAGGAGCCGUCCAGGGCGGCCACGCCGCUGCGCUCCACCACGCCCGUCGCGCGGAGCCCGAUACCGUCCCGGUCGUCCACGCCGGGGAGGCGGCGGCAGGACGCGCCGCCCGCGGGCGCUCUUGGCUCCGACGUGGUCAGGACCGCGGAGCAGCCGGCGGUAAGCAACAAUGCCGUCGGUGGCGGCGAGGCGGACAGGGACAGCGACGGCGGGGCGGUCGGCGGUGCUCCCAGGGCCAACACGCUCGAGUCCCGCGCGGCGGCCUGGGACGAGGCCGAGCGGGCCAAGUUCAUGGCGAGAUACAAGCGCGAGGAGGUGAAGAUCCAGGCCUGGGAGAACCACGAGAAGAGAAAAGCCGAGCUGGAGAUGAAGAAAAUAGAGAUGAAGGCGGAGCAGAUGAAGGCGCGGGCGCAGGAGAAGCUGGCCAGCAAGCUGGCGACGGCGCGGCGGGUGGCCGAGGAGAAGCGGGCGGUGGCGGAGGCGACGCUGAACGAGGGCGCGGCGAGGACGUCGGAGAAGGCGGACUACAUCCGGAGGACCGGCCACCUGCCCUCCUCCUUCUUCUCCUUCAGAAUCCCCUCCCUCUGCGGCUAG
RNAcentral lists this ribosomal RNA (1062 nucleotides) under Triticum aestivum (bread wheat). RNAcentral's name for it is "partial small subunit ribosomal RNA". The record is from RNAcentral. Lineage: Eukaryota; Viridiplantae; Streptophyta; Magnoliopsida; Poales; Poaceae.